RNAcentral lists this ribosomal RNA (23 nucleotides) under Phlyctema vagabunda. Its description in RNAcentral is "partial 18S ribosomal RNA". The record is from RNAcentral. Lineage: Eukaryota; Fungi; Ascomycota; Leotiomycetes; Helotiales; Dermateaceae. RNAcentral also lists the same sequence under 1 other name.
GUAGGUGAACCUGCGGAGGGAUC